GAAGCAUUCUGGCUGCUAAUCAGUACAUUGCAAGAUUCUCCCGACCAUCACGCCUGGCUCAUUCUUGCCUGGCUGCUAACUCCUUCUCUCCUCUCAGGACCUGUCAACUUCCAGGGGCUAGUCCCCAGCAGCUCAAUAGGGAGGGGAUAUGGCAGAGUGCACAAUCCUUUAGCCUAAUCAGAAGAGAAGAAAAUCAACAUUGCAAAUGCAAGUGCAGUAGAACACAGGGACUUUGGAACUUUGGGUACCAUUAGUGGAUCGUAAAGCCUUCCAAAGCUGGGUCUGUGUCUUAAUCACUUUGCACUAGCCAAAGCUGUGCAUGUAGUCAAUCUUAAGAAGACGCUGAAUGAUGGAUAAUAUCAUCUUUGCAGAAAUGACUGGCUCAUUUGCCAUUACCUGGCCACAUGUCUCUCUUCUAGCUUUGUGAAGGGUGAUUUACACCCCUGGCUGGAAUGACUCUCUUUCUGGGCUGAUUACAUCUGCAAAUGCCCCCCAGAGGCCGCAGCAGGAUGGCCAUAUUCAGACGAAGCAGCCAAUAAAUCUCAGAGGUAUAUUGUACUUCACAGUGCCUUCCCUCUUGGCCCUCUGCCAGUCGGGCUGUGGAAGGUGGGGGGGUGCUCAAGUUGAAGGGUUAGGAGACGAAGCCCUCCUCUUUCGUCACUCUUUACUCUUGUCCUUCUAGACUCUGCUAAAUUCUAAUUUUUUCCUAGUCAGUUUUUAGUCUGGAAACUGGUGGGAAUCAAGCCCAGGUCUGACAAUUCUCCUUGUUCUCACCAGUGCCACACUGUGUUCUAGACUUUGCAGUUCCUGGUUCAGCAGCUGGCUCACAAACCCUCAUCAUCUGAAAAUGGGCUCCUAAGUGAUGUCUCCAGUCACUCUCUUCGGUGAUUUGGAGGGGUCGGGGAGUGGUUGAGGGCAAGGUCUCCAGUCCAGACUGUUUUGCCUUUGAACUUGUGGUACUCCUACCUCUGCUUUCCAGUGUUGCGCUGGGGACUGAACCCAGAGCCCCACUCUAUCAACCAUGCUACAUCUUAGUUCUGGUUAAUGUUUGAUCUGGUUAGCAGGGACUGGGGGGAACUAAGAGUCACAGUGGGAGGAAUAUCCUUUUGACUACUGCUCUCAUAGGUCAAAGGGGAUUAAUCUUGGAGCAGCUGGAUUUACCAAAGCUCCUGAGACCUGCCCUGGUUAUGCUCCCCUCUGGCAUUUCACCAGUCUGGGACCAUUUUUCAGAAUCUUGAUUUUAAUAAUCACAAAACCUUACCCAUGGAAAUACUUACCAAGGACAAAUAAGAUAAUAGAUGUGCAAACUCUCUCUCUCUCUCUCUCUCUCUCUCUCUCUCUCUCUCUCUCUCU
Molecule: long non-coding RNA, 1353 nt
Filed under: Cricetulus griseus (Chinese hamster)
Lineage: Eukaryota; Metazoa; Chordata; Mammalia; Rodentia; Cricetidae
Description: lncRNA (ENSCGRG00015037664.1)
Source: RNAcentral